RNAcentral lists this ribosomal RNA (253 nucleotides) under uncultured bacterium. RNAcentral's name for it is "partial 16S ribosomal RNA". It matches the Rfam family "Bacterial small subunit ribosomal RNA", at positions 524 to 776 of the family's 1533-position model. The record is from RNAcentral.
UACGUAGGGUGCAAGCGUUAAUCGGAAUUACUGGGCGUAAAGCGUGCGCAGGCGGUUUUGUAAGUCUGGCGUGAAAGCCCCGGGCUCAACCUGGGAAUGGCAUUUGGGACUGCAAGGCUGGAGUUUGGCAGAGGAGACUGGAAUUCCCGGUGUAGCAGUGAAAUGCGUAGAUAUCGGGAGGAAUACCGAUGGCGAAGGCAGGUCUCUGGGCUAUAACUGACGCUCAUGCACGAAAGCGUGGGGAGCAAACAGG